UCGAGCGAGAAAGGGGCUUCGGCCCUGAGUAAAGCGGCGCACGGGUGAGUAACACGUGGGUAAUCUGCCCUAGAGUGGGGAAUAACACCGGGAAACCGGUGCUAAUACCGCAUACGAUCGUGAUGUCUUCGGACGUUGUGAUGAAAGGAGCAAUUCGCUCUUGGAGGAGCCCGCGGCUGAUUAGCUAGUUGGUGAGGUAAUGGCUCACCAAGGCAACGAUCAGUAGCCGGUCUGAGAGGACGGUCGGCCACACUGGAACUGAGACACGGUCCAGACUCCUACGGGAGGCAGCAGUGGGGAAUUUUUCGCAAUGGGGGCAACCCUGACGAAGCAACGCCGCGUGGGUGAUGAAGUAUCUCGGUACGUAAAACCCUUUCGACGGGGAAGAAACCGCAAGGUUGACGGUACCCGUAGAAGAAGCCCCGGCUAACUCCGUGCCAGCAGACGCGGUAAUACGGGGGGGGCAAGCGUUGUUCGGAAUUACUGGGCGUAAAGGGCGCGUAGGCGGUCCGCUAAGUUGAAUGUGAAAACUCUGGGCUUAACCCAGAGCCUGCAUUCAAUACUGGCAGGCUAGAGUUCUGGAGGGGAUAGCGGAAUUCCUGGUGUAGCGGUGAAAUGCGUAGAUAUCAGGAGGAACACCGGUGGCGAAGGCGGCUAUCUGGACAGAGUCUGACGCUGAGGCGCGAAAGCUAGGGGAGCAAACAGGAUUAGAUACCCUGGUAGUCCUAGCCCUAAACGAUGGAUACUUGCUGUGACUGGGAUUGAAUCCAGUCGUGGCGAAGCUA
This 785-nucleotide ribosomal RNA is filed under the name uncultured bacterium. Its description in RNAcentral is "bacterial SSU rRNA". It matches the Rfam family "Bacterial small subunit ribosomal RNA", at positions 62 to 854 of the family's 1533-position model. The record is from RNAcentral.